This is a long non-coding RNA of Neoarius graeffei (lesser salmon catfish), 649 nucleotides long. RefSeq lists it as uncharacterized. The record is from RefSeq and is a predicted model, not a curated record. NCBI's taxonomy places the organism in Eukaryota, Metazoa, Chordata, Actinopteri, Siluriformes, Ariidae. The transcript is spliced from 4 exons.
GAGGACUGGAGCGUCCUGACCUCAGCCCUCAGCUCUCUCAGCUCUCUCAGCUCCGAGCCCUCAGCCCACACUUCGGAGGAUUUUAUAAAGUCAGAGAGGUUUCUUAGGGUCCGGGUCCGAGCCGCACGCGCCGGCCGGGGUUCACGCGCCUCUGGACGGUGAAGAACCGGUUGAGGAGCUGCUCCUGUCUGUGUGUUGGACAGCUGUGUGCCAGAAGUGCAGCGUUCUCGGGUGUAUUAACUGACUGAGAUGAGGUCGAUCACAUGCCCGUCCAAUUGACAGACAGACAUCACUAGGCUCGAGGUAUCUUGAGUCAUGAGGCUUUCUGUUGGACCUGAGCAGGUUUAGUGACUUCAGCAAAAGACUCCAGUUGCAAAUGCCUGCCUAAAAAUCUACCCUCGACAUUUUCUUAACUGUCUCAUGCCUGAACUAAUAAUGGGCAGUUUUGUAGUUUGGUGAGCAGGAAAUCUGUCUAUUACUUAUUCAGCAGUUUCCUUAAAUAAAUAAAUAAAUAAAUAAAUAAAGCUUUAAAGAUGCUUAAAAAAACAACAACCCACGACUGUCAGUGUCCACUUACUUGCAGACUUACUCAUAUUCUCAUCUUUCUGACUGUAAUGAAUGUCCUUUUUUACUCCUUAAUUAAACGAUG